Molecule: ribosomal RNA, 2885 nt
Filed under: Vibrio parahaemolyticus
Lineage: Bacteria; Pseudomonadati; Pseudomonadota; Gammaproteobacteria; Vibrionales; Vibrionaceae
Description: 23S ribosomal RNA
Rfam family: Bacterial large subunit ribosomal RNA
Source: RNAcentral
GGUUAAGUGACUAAGCGUACACGGUGGAUGCCUUGGCAGUCAGAGGCGAUGAAAGACGUAGUAACUUGCGAUAAGCCCAGAUUAGGUAGUAACAACCAUUUGAGUCUGGGAUUUCUGAAUGGGGAAACCCACGUGCAUAAGCACGUAUCCUUACCUGAAUACAUAGGGUAAGGAGGCGAACCGGGGAACUGAAACAUCUAAGUACCCCGAGGAAAAGAAAUCAAUCGAGAUUCCGAAAGUAGCGGCGAGCGAAAUUGGACUAGCCCUUAAGCUUUACACGCGUUAGACGAACGGUCUGGAAAGUCCGACGAUACAGGGUGAUAGUCCCGUAGUUGACGACGUGUGUUCAGUGAAAUCGAGUAGGGCGGGACACGUGAUAUCCUGUCUGAAUAUGGGGGACCAUCCUCCAAGGCUAAAUACUACUGACUGACCGAUAGUGAACCAGUACCGUGAGGGAAAGGCGAAAAGAACCCCUGUGAGGGGAGUGAAAUAGAACCUGAAACCGUGUACGUACAAGCAGUAGGAGCAGGCUUUGUCCUGUGACUGCGUACCUUUUGUAUAAUGGGUCAGCGACUUAUAUUCAGUGGCAAGGUUAACCAUCUAGGGGAGCCGUAGGGAAACCGAGUCUUAACUGGGCGUUCAGUCUCUGGAUAUAGACCCGAAACCAGGUGAUCUAGCCAUGGGCAGGUUGAAGGUUGAGUAACAUCAACUGGAGGACCGAACCGACUAAUGUUGAAAAAUUAGCGGAUGACUUGUGGCUAGGGGUGAAAGGCCAAUCAAACCUGGAGAUAGCUGGUUCUCCCCGAAAGCUAUUUAGGUAGCGCCUCGGACGAAUACUACUGGGGGUAGAGCACUGUUAAGGCUAGGGGUCAUCCCGACUUACCAACCCUUUGCAAACUCCGAAUACCAGUAAGUACUAUCCGGGAGACACACGGCGGGUGCUAACGUCCGUCGUGGAGAGGGAAACAACCCAGACCGCCAGCUAAGGUCCCAAAUUACUACUAAGUGGGAAACGAUGUGGGAAGGCUCAGACAGCCAGGAUGUUGGCUUAGAAGCAGCCAUCAUUUAAAGAAAGCGUAAUAGCUCACUGGUCGAGUCGGCCUGCGCGGAAGAUGUAACGGGGCUAAGUAGUAAACCGAAGCUGCGGCAAUAUACUUUUGUAUAUUGGGUAGGGGAGCGUUCUGUAAGCGGUUGAAGGUGUGUGGUAACGCAUGCUGGACGUAUCAGAAGUGCGAAUGCUGACAUGAGUAACGAUAAAGGGGGUGAAAAACCUCCUCGCCGGAAGACCAAGGGUUCCUGUCCAACGUUAAUCGGGGCAGGGUAAGUCGACCCCUAAGGCGAGGCCGAAAGGCGUAGUCGAUGGGAAACGGGUUAAUAUUCCCGUACUUCUUACAAUUGCGAUGGGGGACGGAGAAGGCUAGGUGGGCCUGGCGACGGUUGUCCAGGUUCAAGUGCGUAGGCUUAAGAGUUAGGUAAAUCCGGCUCUUUUUAAGGCUGAGACACGACGUCGAGCACCUACGGGUGUGAAGUCAUUGAUGCCAUGCUUCCAGGAAAAGCCUCUAAGCUUCAGAUUGUAAGGAAUCGUACCCCAAACCGACACAGGUGGUCGGGUAGAGAAUACCAAGGCGCUUGAGAGAACUCGGGUGAAGGAACUAGGCAAAAUGGUACCGUAACUUCGGGAGAAGGUACGCUCUUGAUGGUGAAGUCCUCGCGGAUGGAGCUGACGAGAGUCGCAGAUACCAGGUGGCUGCAACUGUUUAUUAAAAACACAGCACUGUGCAAAAUCGUAAGAUGACGUAUACGGUGUGACGCCUGCCCGGUGCCGGAAGGUUAAUUGAUGGGGUUAGACUUCGGUCGAAGCUCUUGAUCGAAGCCCCGGUAAACGGCGGCCGUAACUAUAACGGUCCUAAGGUAGCGAAAUUCCUUGUCGGGUAAGUUCCGACCUGCACGAAUGGCGUAAUGAUGGCCACGCUGUCUCCACCCGAGACUCAGUGAAAUUGAAAUCGCUGUGAAGAUGCAGUGUACCCGCGGCUAGACGGAAAGACCCCGUGAACCUUUACUACAGCUUGGCACUGAACAUUGACCCUACAUGUGUAGGAUAGGUGGGAGGCUUUGAAGCACGUACGCCAGUAUGUGUGGAGCCGUCCUUGAAAUACCACCCUUGUAGUGUUGAUGUUCUAACGUCGACCCCUAAUCGGGGUUGCGGACAGUGCCUGGUGGGUAGUUUGACUGGGGCGGUCUCCUCCCAAAGAGUAACGGAGGAGCACGAAGGUGGGCUAAUCACGGUUGGACAUCGUGAGGUUAGUGCAAUGGCAUAAGCCCGCUUGACUGCGAGAAUGACAAUUCGAGCAGGUGCGAAAGCAGGUCAUAGUGAUCCGGUGGUUCUGAAUGGAAGGGCCAUCGCUCAACGGAUAAAAGGUACUCCGGGGAUAACAGGCUGAUACCGCCCAAGAGUUCAUAUCGACGGCGGUGUUUGGCACCUCGAUGUCGGCUCAUCACAUCCUGGGGCUGAAGUCGGUCCCAAGGGUAUGGCUGUUCGCCAUUUAAAGUGGUACGCGAGCUGGGUUUAGAACGUCGUGAGACAGUUCGGUCCCUAUCUGCCGUGGGCGUUGGAAGAUUGAAGGGGCUGCUCCUAGUACGAGAGGACCGGAGUGGACGAACCUCUGGUGUUCGGGUUGUGUCGCCAGACGCAUUGCCCGGUAGCUAAGUUCGGAAUCGAUAACCGCUGAAAGCAUCUAAGCGGGAAGCGAGCCCUGAGAUGAGUCUUCCCUGAUACUUUAAGUAUCCUAAAGGGUUGUCGGAGACUACGACGUUGAUAGGUCAGGUGUGUAAGUGCUGUGAGGCAUUGAGCUAACUGAUACUAAUUGCCCGUGAGGCUUAACCAU